Long non-coding RNA from Prionailurus viverrinus (fishing cat), 354 nucleotides. RefSeq lists it as uncharacterized. The transcript is spliced from 3 exons. The record is from RefSeq and is a predicted model, not a curated record. Lineage: Eukaryota; Metazoa; Chordata; Mammalia; Carnivora; Felidae.
ACCUUCGAUGCUCUCUCCCAGGCCCGCUGAUUGUCUUUGCAAGACAAUCUGGGUGACAAAUGUGGGCCCGAGGAACACUGCCCUUGCUCGUCAAUUCCCAUUUUGCCCAGUUAAUCAAUAAUUCAACACCUGAAAGGAAAGGAAAGUUGCCAAGGACUUUUGGCCUUAACCGAAAGGAAGCUAUGGUUAUUCCCGGAUCGAGGUUCGUGCCCUGGAAGACCUACAGGCAACAUCAAUGUCCACCAGCAAAGUUUCACGCUCAAGCCCUCACCCCACAAAUUCUCCUUUGCUCCUCUGGAAACAAGAACUGCCUUUUAUUUUUAUUCCAUGUUCCUCCCCUAGAAAAUUAAAACA